GACAGUAUGACGUCACGCCGUGGUUCAGCGAUUUCACAAUGGUGGCCAAGAGGAAAGAGUAAACGCUCGUGUUUAUCUUCCCGUUUUCCCCCAAAAAAUCUCAAAGAUAUUGCUUUAUGAACCAGUCAUAUGGGUAAAGGAGUCCUUCGAAGAUGUUUCUUCACUUACUUUGAUGCUUUUAACGAAAAAGAGCUUUAGUUAUUGAAUUUUUCUUUGCGAAAUACCUUUCCAAAAGCCACUCGAAAAAAGACGACACACAAGAAUAUUUUAAGACCUUGAUGACUUAAAGAUUUGAUCUAUGGCAUCACAAAAGGAGGUUAAGGAACCUAGGUAUUCAUCUUUGUAUUUGCGGAGUUUCGUGAAGAAACCUUCUGCACAACUGCUCAUCAAUCUGUUUGAAGUUGGAAAAACGUUUCCUUGGGUUUGACACCAUGUUUUGCACAAAUCAUAAGUCAACAAGGCAGACUAGACUUGCAAAAGGUUGGGCAAGCUCAUAUUUAAUUUUGGUUCUUUUUAGAAUUCAAAUGUUAACUGGCGUGUUUCGCGGUUAAAUAUAUGAAGUUUAAUAAAUAGGAAAGGAAAGUGUAUUCGAAAGUUGUUGUGGUUGUUUUUCAUAAUUCGAGCGAUUUCUAAGUAUCAACAAGUAGAUAUCAAUGUCAUUGAAAUUUUCCUGUGAUGCAUAAUUUUUUCAUAAUCUCUAUGAUUGCUACACAAGUUGUUAUAUCAGGACCAGAGUGUUAUGUCAGGGCUCCCACUUAACACUCAGAGAUGCAGGCAGAGAUGAAAACAACUGAGCAACAAAGACAAACAUUCAUACAAAAUAGAUGAUUUAACCAUAAACUAUUACUAGAUUUAAAAUAAGAAGUCAAGCAAAUAAAAGGACAUGGGGAAAAGACAA
Molecule: long non-coding RNA, 898 nt
Organism: Actinia tenebrosa (Australian red waratah sea anemone)
Lineage: Eukaryota; Metazoa; Cnidaria; Anthozoa; Actiniaria; Actiniidae
Source: RefSeq, a predicted model, not a curated record